Molecule: RNA transcript, 1098 nt
Organism: Dermacentor silvarum
Lineage: Eukaryota; Metazoa; Arthropoda; Arachnida; Ixodida; Ixodidae
Gene name: WAG22 antigen-like
Exons: 3
Source: RefSeq, a predicted model, not a curated record
GUAUCACUAGAACACCAGCGAUCGUGAAGCACGCGCAAGCUGCCCGUCCGCUCGAGCUCAAGGCUGCGCGAGGCGUCUGCAGUGGAGACCGACGGAACGGCUCCGCUAUCUGGCGGCUGCCCAAGGAGUAGCGACAGCGGCGGUAAGCGCACGGGCGGAGAGUUUUACAACUGAAGCUAGUCUGGUAACGUUGGUUCAAACGUUCUAGAAGCACGUUCGCGUUGUGUUUUCGCGUGUGCCGUGGCGGCAGUAAGUGACGUGGUGGUUGACGCUACUACCCCCACGCUUCCGGCGUAAUAUCCCGUGCUCAUUUUAUUCUCAGUUGGUUGUCGUUCCGACGAGUGUGCCGUGCGAUUUUGUAUCCGCGGCGCGACAACGCCGUUCCUAUCUGCCACGCCCCACCGGAGGUGUUAUUUUCUCCCUGCGUUGAGCGUUUGGUUGCUCGACCGAGAGGAUUCCUGACAUGGCACGCGACGGCAACUUCUGCGGGCUGGCGGCUUUGGCGGCGACAGUGAUCGUCCUCGGCUGUCUUGUCAGCCCAGGAGACCCAGCAGGCCCAGGAGCCGCAGGAGCCGCAGGAAAGGCAGGAGCCGCAGGAAACCCUGGAGGCCCAGGAGGCCACGGAGGCGACGGAGGUGCCGGGGGUCCAGGAUACGUAGGAGGCGCAGGAGGCGCAGGAGGUGCCGGGGGCGCAGGAAUCGGCGGGGCUGCUGGAGGCGACGGGGGCUUAGGAGGCGCCGGGGGCUUAGGAGGCACCGGGGCCGCAGGAGGCGUGGGAGGCGCAGGAGCCGCCGGAGGCGUAGGAAGCGCCACAGCACGAGGAGGCAAUGGAGGUUCAGGAGGCGACGGAGGCAAAGGAGGCGACUGAGGCCCAGGAUUCGCCGUAGGCCCAGGAGGCCUACUUUGUCGUGAACUUCUUCAUAUGUUUUUUUUCUGUUUCGAAUAGCUAGAUCCCCCUCUCAAUAUAGUUUGUCAGACUGCAUGGGAACUGCGCUCGGAUUUCUGAAUCUUCUGGCUUGCACAGUUUGAACUUUCCUGAAAGCCUGCAGCGGUCAAGUUGAACCUCUGCAAUAAAGUUGUUUUUUUACUUUCUCAAAA